RNAcentral lists this ribosomal RNA (198 nucleotides) under Listeria monocytogenes. RNAcentral's name for it is "partial 23S ribosomal RNA". It matches the Rfam family "Bacterial large subunit ribosomal RNA", at positions 1 to 189 of the family's 2925-position model. Lineage: Bacteria; Bacillati; Bacillota; Bacilli; Caryophanales; Listeriaceae. The record is from RNAcentral.
AGUAAAUUGGUUAAGUUAGAAAGGGCGCACGGUGGAUGCCUUGGCACUAGGAGCCGAAGAAGGACGGGACUAACACCGAUAUGCUUUGGGGAGCUGUACGUAAGCGUUGAUCCAGAGAUUUCCGAAUGGGGGAACCCACUAUCUUUAGUCGGAUAGUAUCCUUACGUGAAUACAUAGCGUGAGGAAGGCAGACCCAGG